GACGAACGCUGGCGGCGUGCUUAACACAUGCAAGUCGAACGGAAAGGCCCCUUUGGGGGUACUCGAAUGGCGAACGGGUGAGUAACACGUGAGUAACCUGCCCUUGACUUCGGGAUAACUUCAGGAAACUGGGGCUAAUACCGGAUAGGAAUCCUUGCUGCAUGGUGGGGGUUGGAAAGCUUCGGCGGUUUUGGAUGGACUCGCGGCUUAUCAGCUUGUUGGUGGGGUAGUGGCUUACCAAGGCUUUGACGGGUAGCCGGCCUGAGAGGGCGACCGGCCACAUUGGGACUGGGAUACGGCCCAGACUCCUACGGGAGGCAGCAGUGGGGAAUAUUGCACAAUGGGCGGAAGCCUGAUGCAGCAACGCCGCGUGCGGGAUGACGGCCUUCGGGUUGUAAACCGCUUUCAGCAGGGGCGAAGCUUGUGGUGACGGUACCUGCAGAAGAAGCACCGGCUAACUACGUG
This 465-nucleotide ribosomal RNA is filed under the name uncultured bacterium. Its description in RNAcentral is "partial 16S ribosomal RNA". It matches the Rfam family "Bacterial small subunit ribosomal RNA", at positions 28 to 507 of the family's 1533-position model. The record is from RNAcentral.